Molecule: unclassified non-coding RNA, 378 nt
Filed under: fungal sp.
Lineage: Eukaryota; Fungi
Description: partial internal transcribed spacer region
Rfam family: Eukaryotic small subunit ribosomal RNA (bases 1-46)
Source: RNAcentral
AAGUCGUAACAAGGUUUCCGUAGGUGAACCUGCGGAAGGAUCAUUAACACGUAUCCAAACGUUAAAACCCCCCCCGUGAACCUUCAUCCUGCUCUUGUAACCCGCGUAGUUCGCAAUCUCUGAUAAAUCAUAGCCCGGAAAGUUGUAGUGAUUCAGAGACCUCUGGCUACGUGCGAACAUUGGAACAGUUACAAUCGAGCGGUAGUUCUAUAGGCAAUGUUUCCCCAAGCAGUCAGUGUCGGAAAGUGUCAUUGAUUGUGCAAGGAUAGCGCUUCUACGAUUCCUGUAGACCGUACACUCGGGCAGGAGCUUUGCCAAAGGGUCCCCAUGCCCCCAUACAUUGGGUAAAAAAACCGAACAACUGUUAUCUUGGUUCUC